UAAAAACCCUGUGCAGUUUCACAAAAGAUAAAGAGAUUUUUUUACAAGAAGAUGUCACAAGGUGACGAUCUUUCGGGGCGGAACCAAAAGUUGGGAAAGUUUGGUUCCGCCCGGAUGUUUCCGUCCAGACCGGAGAACAGAAACACCGGACAUCCGGCCGCUUCGCGAAGGCUGUAAUCAGCCGAUUGUUUACAGCUGUGUAUAAUUAAAGAGAUCGCCGGGUAAUUGGACAAUUGGAGGACAUGGAGGAGUAUAAAAAGGGCAGCUAAACCACAGUUCGGGCACGAGAGGGGGAUUGACACGGGGAAAGCUCCUCUGCUUAAUGCAGAAAAAGUAACUACGUACCUUUUGAAGAGCCCGCAGGCUCUGUUGAUCCGGGCUGCGCUUGGAGCGCGCGGAAAGAAGACAGGAGCUGCCUGGGGUGAAAGAAAGGCGAUACGUGGGUGGAGAAAAGGAGCACCCCGAAGAGAGCAUUGUGCUGACGAGUCGUAGUGUGUGCUGAGGAACGGAGCUGUGCUCAUUGUUAGACGUGGUGGCUGUCUGUAUUUCUCUCUCUCUCUCUCCCUCUCUCGUUGUAGUUGACGGUGGACCUGUUUGGAGUAAAGGGAAAAUCCUAUGGGUAAAAAGGAACUUUGGUCUAACCAGCACUUUUGAAGGAGUAAAGUAGGAAGAAAAUUGCCCUUGUUGUACAACGUAAACGAAGGCCAUCCGCUGUGAGUAUACCUUUUUGGUGUGGAGUAACUUACAGAAAUUAACCUGUGUAACCGUUGGAAACCUCCAGGAGAAGGAGGGCGGCCCUACCCCUACAAUAGUGUGGUGGGCGAGCCGUUAGAAGUGUAAAUCCAAACAGCCACAGCAACGAGACUUUAUUUUGGUCAUAUUUCCAUCGCCCUUAUCUCAGCCCAAGCGAAGUGGAGGAUGCCGGGCGUUUUCCUUGUGUGUACACUUGUAGUGUGAGUCAGAGGCGAAAGGGUCCGCCGCCCCCGCGGUCUCUACAAAGGGGCGCCCCUGUCCAGGAUUUGAUCGGCCUACAGGCAGUGGAGAUAGGGCAGCGCUCGGCCCGGUGAGGUGGUGUGUGACCUUCGCCCCUCUGCUGACCUACGGAGGAAAAAACCAUACCUACCCAGAGAGCUGUAAGCAGCAGAACCGGUGAGAAAAUACCUGAAGUCCAAGUAACAGUGUCUUUGUGUCUUAGUGACCGCCUGUGGAGAGAAAGGAAAAUGAGAAUGAACAUGAGGAGAAUGGACUGUGUGAAGAUACAGUUGGUGGUGGAGGAGAGCCUAGAGUGGCCAUUAUUUUAAGUUCCCCAUUUUCCCUUCCCUAUAUAUCUUUUUUAAGUAAAUUAAAUAAAGUACCUUUUUAAUAUUAUGCUUACCUUGUGUGUCUGAUCAUUGGGGUGGCUUUGGGAAUCUCCUCGAGGUGGAGAAAGGGGCGUGACCUUAUUUACAUCUGGGUCCACCCCUACCUGUGACAGAUUUGGCGUAGUCGGCAGUCCACCUCGGGUUGAGACCAGGGUCCCCCAAUGGCCUACCACAUUUCUUUUAAAGAACAGCUCCCAUCAACACUCCAUCAGUCCCCAAACAACGCGUUCUCGGGACGAGAACGGAUUGGCGGGGGAGGAUGUCACAAGGUGACGAUCUUUCGGGGCGGAACCAAAAGUUGGGAAAGUUUGGUUCCGCCCGGAUGUUUCCGUCCAGACCGGAGAACAGAAACACCGGACAUCCGGCCGCUUCGCGAAGGCUGUAAUCAGCCGAUUGUUUACAGCUGUGUAUAAUUAAAGAGAUCGCCGGGUAAUUGGACAAUUGGAGGACAUGGAGGAGUAUAAAAAGGGCAGCUAAACCACAGUUCGGGAGUUCGGGCACGAGAGGGGGAUUGACACGGGGAAAGCUCCUCUGCUUAAUGCAGAAAAAGUAACUACGUACCUUUUGAAGAGCCCGCAGGCUCUGUUGAUCCGGGCUGCGCUUGGAGCGCGCGGAAAGAAGACAGGAGCUGCCUGGGGUGAAAGAAAGGCGAUACGUGGGUGGAGAAAAGGAGCACCCCGAAGAGAGCAUUGUGCUGACGAGUCGUAGUGUGUGCUGAGGAACGGAGCUGUGCUCCUUGUUAGACGUGGUGGCUGUCUGUAUUUCUCUCUCUCUCUCUCCCUCUCUCGUUGUAGUUGACGGUGGACCUGUUUGGAGUAAAGGGAAAAUCCUAUGGGUAAAAAGGAACUUUGGUCUAACCAGCACUUUUGAAGGAGUAAAGUAGGAAGAAAAUUGCCCUUGUUGUACAACGUAAACGAAGGCCAUCCGCUGUGAGUAUACCUUUUUGGUGUGGAGUAACUUACAGAAAUUAACCUGUGUAACCGUUGGAAACCUCCAGGAGAAGGAGGGCGGCCCUACCCCUACAAUAGUGUGGUGGGCGAGCCGUUAGAAGUGUAAAUCCAAACAGCCACAGCAACGAGACUUUAUUUUGGUCAUAUUUCCAUCGCCCUUAUCUCAGCCCAAGCGAAGUGGAGGAUGCCGGGCGUUUUCCUUGUGUGUACACUUGUAGUGUGGUGAGUGAGACUUUGCAAUUAAUAAGCUUUUCACGUUGGAGUGGUGCUGUGUAUUUGCUGUGGGUUGCUGUGUGUCUUGUCAGAAGAAGGCCCGCAUCAUCCAUUCGUCUACUGGGCAGAGGACGGAGAGGCUAACGACCUCAGAAUUUACCGCUAUCAUACGCAGUGUGCUGUUUCGGAGUACGAAGAGACGCAGACCAAGAGCUGUCAGUGACUGUGAGUAAAACAUUGGAAAUAUUCGUGGUGUAAACUUACCUGUGUCUGUUUUGUCGCAGAGUCAGAGGCGAAAGGGUCCGCCGCCCCCGCGGUCUCUACAAAGGGGCGCCCCUGUCCAGGAUUUGAUCGGCCUACGGGCAGUGGAGAUAGGGCAGCGCUCGGCCCGGUGAGGUGGUGUGUGACCUUCGCCCCUCUGCUGACCUACGGAGGAAAAACCAUACCUACCCAGAGAGCUGUAAGCAGCAGAACCGGUGAGAAAAUACCUGAAGUCCAAGUAACAGUGUCUUUGUGUCUUAGUGACCGCCUGUGGAGAGAAAGGAAAAUGAGAAUGAACAUGAGGAGAAUGGACUGUGUGAAGAUACAGUUGGUGGUGGAGGAGAGCCUAGAGUGGCCAUUAUUUUAAGUUCCCCAUUUUCCCUUCCCUAUAUAUCUUUUUUAAGUAAAUUAAAUAAAGUACCUUUUUAAUAUUA
This is a non-coding RNA of Paramisgurnus dabryanus, 3219 nucleotides long. The record is from RefSeq and is a predicted model, not a curated record. Lineage: Eukaryota; Metazoa; Chordata; Actinopteri; Cypriniformes; Cobitidae.